RNAcentral lists this long non-coding RNA (243 nucleotides) under Capsicum annuum. Its description in RNAcentral is "long non-coding RNA (CANN_LNC006372)". Lineage: Eukaryota; Viridiplantae; Streptophyta; Magnoliopsida; Solanales; Solanaceae. The record is from RNAcentral.
CAGGUCCUACAACUAUUGUUGGUGAGCUCCAGUUUGCUUCGGAGCUUUCCGAGUCGGUUCCGUAUGUUUUGUUAUUGUACAGGAGUCAUGUGUGGGCGGGGGUUUGUCCCGACCCUAGUUAUGUCAUGUAUAUCCUAGAGGCUUUGUAGACAUAAGGAAGGGUAAAGUCAUGGAAGUUUAUAUAGUGAUGUUAUAUUUGUAUAUGUGGUGGCCCCGACGGCCAAGUAUUAUAUAUAUAUAUAU